GACAGCAGUCGCCACGGUAACACCAGCACCUCGAGUGGUCAGGAGGUUUAUUGGGCCUAAAGCAUCCGUAGCCGGUUGCAUAAGUUUUCGGUUAAAUCUAUGCGCUUAACGUAUAGACCGCCGAAAAUACUGUGCAGCUAGGGAGUGGGAGAGGUACACGGUACUCGAUAGGAAGGGGUAAAAUCCUUUGAUCUAUUGAUGACCACCUGUGGCGAAGGCGGUGUACCAGAACACGUUCGACGGUGAGGGAUGAAAGCUGGGGGAGCAAACCGGAUUAGAUACCCCGGUAGUCCCUGUCUCUUAUAC
RNAcentral lists this ribosomal RNA (306 nucleotides) under uncultured bacterium. RNAcentral describes it as "partial 16S ribosomal RNA". It matches the Rfam family "Archaeal small subunit ribosomal RNA", at positions 454 to 760 of the family's 1478-position model. The record is from RNAcentral.